UACAGAGGGUGCAAGCGUUAAUCGGAAUUACUGGGCGUAAAGCGUGCGUAGCCGGUUAUGUAAGUCAGGUGUGAAAGCCCCGGGCUCAACCUGGGAAUUGCAUUUGAGACUGCAUAGCUAGGGUGCGGAAGAGGGAAGCGGAAUUUCCGGUGUAGCGGUGAAAUGCGUAGAUAUCGGAAGGAACAUCAGUGGCGAAAGCGGCUUCCUAGUCCAGCACCGACGUUCAGGCACGAAAGCGUGGGGAGCAAACAGG
This 253-nucleotide ribosomal RNA is filed under the name uncultured bacterium. RNAcentral's name for it is "partial 16S ribosomal RNA". It matches the Rfam family "Bacterial small subunit ribosomal RNA", at positions 524 to 776 of the family's 1533-position model. The record is from RNAcentral.